Phodopus roborovskii (desert hamster) is the source of this 394-nucleotide non-coding RNA. The record is from the annotation of a RefSeq genome assembly. NCBI's taxonomy places the organism in Eukaryota, Metazoa, Chordata, Mammalia, Rodentia, Cricetidae.
AGUCCCCACAGGACACAGCACAGACAUGAGGGCUCCUGCUCACCUCCUGGGGCUGCUGCUGCUCUGGAUCCCAGGUUCCCGAUGUGAUAUCCAGAUGACCCAGUCUCCAUCUCAGCCUGUGUCACUAAAAGACACAGUCACCAUCAAGUGUCAAGCCAGUCAGAGUGUUAGUACUGCAUUAAGCUGGUACCAGCAAAAACCAGGGGAAUCUCCAAAGCUCCUGAUCUAUGCUGCAUCUAAUCUAAAUACUGGAGUCCCAUCCAGGUUCCGUGGCAGUGGGUCUGGGACUGAUUUUACCCUCACCAUCAGCAGUGUGGAGCCAGAAGAUAUUGGAACUUAUUACUGUCAACAGUAUUAUGAUUACCCACCCACAGUGGAACAUCUCAUAACAUAA